RNAcentral lists this ribosomal RNA (468 nucleotides) under uncultured bacterium. Its description in RNAcentral is "partial 16S ribosomal RNA". It matches the Rfam family "Bacterial small subunit ribosomal RNA", at positions 28 to 507 of the family's 1533-position model. The record is from RNAcentral.
GACGAACGCUGGCGGCGUGCUUAACACAUGCAAGUCGAACGGAGAGGCCCUGCUUUUGUGGGGUGCUCGAGUGGCGAACGGGUGAGUAACACGUGAGUAACCUGCCCUUGACUUUGGGAUAACUUCAGGAAACUGGGGCUAAUACCGGAUAGGAGCUCCUGCUGCAUGGUGGGGGUUGGAAAGUUUCGGCGGUUGGGGAUGGACUCGCGGCUUAUCAGCUUGUUGGUGGGGUAGUGGCUUACCAAGGCUUUGACGGGUAGCCGGCCUGAGAGGGUGACCGGCCACAUUGGGACUGAGAUACGGCCCAGACUCCUACGGGAGGCAGCAGUGGGGAAUAUUGCACAAUGGGCGGAAGCCUGAUGCAGCAACGCCGCGUGCGGGAUGACGGCCUUCGGGUUGUAAACCGCUUUCGCCUGUGACGAAGCGUGGGUGACGGUAAUGGGUAAAGAAGCACCGGCUAACUACGUG